This 205-nucleotide unclassified non-coding RNA is filed under the name soil metagenome. RNAcentral's name for it is "partial contains 5.8S ribosomal RNA, internal transcribed spacer 2, and large subunit ribosomal RNA". The record is from RNAcentral.
AACGCACGAGACCUGCGGACCUGCGGAAGGAUCAUUAUAGAGUUUUUAACUCCCAAACCCAUGUGAACUUACCUUUGUUGCCUCGGCGGAGCCUACCCGGUACCUACCCUGUAGCGCCCCGCCGGUGGACUUCUAAACUAUUGUUAUUUUAAUGAUAUCUGAGAGUCUUAUUUUAAUAAGUCAAAACUUUCAACAAUGGAUCUCU